RNAcentral lists this non-coding RNA (37 nucleotides) under unclassified sequences. RNAcentral's name for it is "abiF RNA". It matches the Rfam family "abiF RNA". The record is from Rfam by way of RNAcentral.
CCUUCCAUGCCUCUCAACGAUGCACAAACAGGAAGGU